Molecule: non-coding RNA, 100 nt
Filed under: Bacillus solimangrovi
Lineage: Bacteria; Bacillati; Bacillota; Bacilli; Caryophanales; Bacillaceae
Description: Guanine sequence
Rfam family: Purine riboswitch aptamer
About the family: Riboswitches are metabolite binding domains within certain messenger RNAs that serve as precision sensors for their corresponding targets. Allosteric rearrangement of mRNA structure is mediated by ligand binding, and this results in modulation of gene expression.
Source: Rfam by way of RNAcentral
UUGAAAAAAUAUAAAUUGAUUCGUAUAUUCUCAGUAAUUUGGUCUGGGAGUUUCUACAAGGAACCGUUAAUUCCUAACUACGAAUGGGUGUAUUUAUUGU